This 490-nucleotide ribosomal RNA is filed under the name uncultured bacterium. RNAcentral describes it as "partial 16S ribosomal RNA". It matches the Rfam family "Bacterial small subunit ribosomal RNA", at positions 28 to 507 of the family's 1533-position model. The record is from RNAcentral.
GAUGAACGCUAGCUACAGGCUUAACACAUGCAAGUCGAGGGGCAGCAUGGUCUUAGCUUGCUAAGGCCGAUGGCGACCGGCGCACGGGUGAGUAACACGUAUCCAACCUGCCGUCUACUCUUGGACAGCCUUCUGAAAGGAAGAUUAAUACAAGAUGGCAUCAUGAGUUCACAUGUUCACAUGAUUAAAGGUAUUCCGGUAGACGAUGGGGAUGCGUUCCAUUAGAUAGUAGGCGGGGUAACGGCCCACCUAGUCUUCGAUGGAUAGGGGUUCUGAGAGGAAGGUCCCCCACAUUGGAACUGAGACACGGUCCAAACUCCUACGGGGGGCAGCAGUGAGGAAUAUUGGUCAAUGGGCGAGAGCCUGAACCAGCCAAGUAGCGUGAAGGAUGACUGCCCUAUGGGUUGUAAACUUCUUUUAGAAAGGAAUAAAGUCGGGUAUGUAUACCCGUUUGCAUGUACUUUAUGAAUAAGGAUCGGCUAACUCCGUG